CCUACGGGAGGCAGCAGUGAGGAAUAUUGGUCAAUGGACGAGAGUCUGAACCAGCCAAGUAGCGUGAAGGAUGACUGCCCUAUGGGUUGUAAACUUCUUUUAUACGGGAAUAAAAUGGUCCACGUGUGGGAGUUUGCAUGUACCAUAUGAAUAAGGACCGGCUAAGUCCGUGCCAGCAGCCGCGGUAAUACGGAGGGUCCGAGCGUUAUCCGGAUUUAUUGGGUUUAAAGGGAGCGUAGGCGGAUUGUUAAGUCAGUUGUGAAAGUUUGUGGCUCAACCGUAAGAUUGCAGUUGGAACUGGAAGUGUUGAGUGCGGUGGAGGUGGGCGGAAUUCGUGGUGUAGCGGUGAAAUGCUUAGAUAGCACGAAGAACUCCGAUUGCGAAGGCAGCUCGCUGGACUGCAACUGACGCUGAGGCUCGAAAGUGUGGGUAUCAAACAGGAUUAGAUACCCGGGUAGUC
RNAcentral lists this ribosomal RNA (460 nucleotides) under uncultured bacterium. RNAcentral's name for it is "partial 16S ribosomal RNA". It matches the Rfam family "Bacterial small subunit ribosomal RNA", at positions 338 to 795 of the family's 1533-position model. The record is from RNAcentral.